CUCAUUAACAGGACCCUUGUAUUGUAGUAGGUCACAUGGUAUCUACAGAAAAGCCUGUUUUUGUGAAUUAGAUAUAGUCAAAUUCUGGCCCAUGGGAUACACACAAAGUCAUUUAUGACUUUUGAGAAGUAGUAACCAAAGAAGAGAGACACCUUUCUCCUUCCAUCCUUCUCUAUUUCCUGACAGCUAGAAUGUAAACAUGAUGGCUUGAGCUCAGGCAACGAUCUUGGGCUAUAAGGUGAAUGCCGUAGGUUAGGAUGGCAGAGCAACAGGACUGAGGAACUCAAGACUCUGAUGAUCAUGGAGCUGCCCUACCAUCAUUGGUCUGUUUACUUCCACACGCUGCUUACCUGAGGGAGUAGCCAACUUCUAUCUUAUUUAAGCCAUUAUUAUAUCAGCUCUUCUGUCACUUUAGCCAAGCACUAUCCUAAUUAUCCUAAUUGGUUAAAAAAAAAAGGAAAGAACAUAAAAACCAUAAGUUCAACAUUGACAGUCCAGAAAGAGAAAAGACAAGUCAAUGGAAAUAAUGCAAUUUGAUGAUAACAUUAACUGUGUCAUUUUAAGGGGGUCACCAAUUAUAAAAUGCACUGUUAUUUUAUGUACUAUCAAGAAAAAUAAUACUGCCUUUAAACUGAGUCAUAAUGCCUUAAAAACAGCCCCCCAUGACACAUGAACCAGUCACACCAAUCUCUCAUUAGUUUGAGUUUUUUUUAAGGCUUAUUCCAAGGGAUUUCACAAUGUCUCUGGCCUUGGGCUGCCUUGCUGGCAACGUGACGGGCCACCUUUCAAAGCCUAUCUCAGAAACAAAACCCAGCACAGUUUCUUCCCCUUUCUUCUUCCUGUCCUGCCCCCACCAAGUGCUCUGGGUCGUUACUUUGAAGAAACAGAUUCUGGUUACUCCUCUGAUGACAAAGCGUUGCUUCACUCAUGUCAAAUCUGUGCCCUGCCACUCGUGUCCUGUGUGUCUUCAGAUUCCUUCCCACUCAGUGGUUUGUCAUUGCUCUGUUGAGUCUUGGCACCUCCAAGUCACUUCAGAUGGCAAUUAAUGCCAAACAAGAGAUGCCUCCCAGGGCACAGUGCUCAGCGGAAGGCGACUCCGAGGCUGCGCUCCCGCAGGCAGGGCACCCUGGGCCCGGCCACCUCAGAGACGCGAUCACAGGAUGCUUUUGAGGGCAAGUGCCUCUCCAGCCGUGAGAGGGGAC
This 1202-nucleotide long non-coding RNA is filed under the name Marmota monax (woodchuck). The record is from RNAcentral. Lineage: Eukaryota; Metazoa; Chordata; Mammalia; Rodentia; Sciuridae.